This 474-nucleotide ribosomal RNA is filed under the name uncultured bacterium. RNAcentral describes it as "SSU rRNA". It matches the Rfam family "Bacterial small subunit ribosomal RNA", at positions 26 to 518 of the family's 1533-position model. The record is from RNAcentral.
AGGACGAACGCUGGCGGCGUGCUUAACACAUGCAAGUCGAGCGGAAAGGCCCUUCGGGGUACUCGAGCGGCGAACGGGUGAGUAAUACGUGAGCAACCUGCCCUUAGCUCUGGGAUAGCUCCGGGAAACCGGAAUUAAUACCGGAUAUGACCUAGGCCGACAUCGGCCGUGGUGGAAAGUUUUUCGGCUAGGGAUGGACUCGCGGCCUAUCAGCUAGUUGGUGGGGUAAUGGCCUACCAAGGCGACGACGGGUAGCCGGCCUGAGAGGGCGACCGGCCACACUGGGACUGAGACACGGCCCAGACUCAUACGGGAGGCAGCAGUGGGGAAUCUUGCGCAAUGGGCGAAAGCCUGACGCAGCGACGCCGCGUGGGGGAUGAAGGCCUUCGGGUUGUAAACCCCUUUCAGCAGGGACGAAGCGAAAGUGACGGUACCUGCAGAAGAAGCGCCGGCUAACUACGCGCCAGCAGCCGC